Molecule: ribosomal RNA, 467 nt
Filed under: uncultured bacterium
Lineage: Bacteria
Description: partial 16S ribosomal RNA
Rfam family: Bacterial small subunit ribosomal RNA
Source: RNAcentral
GAUGAACGCUGGCGGCGUGCUUAACACAUGCAAGUCGAACGGAAAGGCUCCUGCUUGCCGGGGUGCUCGAGUGGCGAACGGGUGAGUAACACGUGGGUAAUCUGCCCCGCACUUCGGGAUAAGCCUAGGAAACUGGGUCUAAUACCGGAUAGGACCGUGGGUUGGAUGGCGUGGUGGAGAGAGUUUUCGGGGUGGGAUGGGCUCGCGGGCUAUCAGCUUGUUGGGGGGGGGAUGGCCUACCAAAGCGUCGACGGGUAUCCGGCCUGGGAGGGUGUACGGCCAAAUUGGGACUGGGGUACGGCCCAGACCCCUACGGGAGGCAGGAGGGGGGAAUUUUGCACAAUGGGGGCAAGCCCGAUGCAGCGAAGCCGCGUGGCGGAUGACCGCCUUCGGGUUGGAAACCCCCUUCGCUCUGGACGAAGCGUUAUGUGACGGUACCUAGAGAAGAAGCACCGGCUAACUACGUG